UGCCUCCUCCCGGUCGGCUGCACAGUCCUCCCCCGGCUCUCGGAGAUGGGCAGCGCGCGGUUGCCAGCCAGCCCGCUGCGCCGAGGUGGUUGUGACUGGGAGGAGGUCCCCUAUCGCCCAGACUCGGUUUGCGUCCUUUCUUCAACCUUGGCUGCGGGCCCCUGCCACUCGCAAUAACACCACCACAUCCUCUGCACCGAAACUUCCCGCCAAGCAACACCCAGCCAAUUAACCCCAUCCUCUCCUCCAACACAGAAUUCCACCCACGAACCUAUUCCCUCUCCCCGCGCUUCAGACACCUCCCUCAUCGGAAAACCGCGUGAAGGGACGCAGGCACUCAGCAGAGGACCCUGGCUGAAUUAAUGGCGGUUCCCAGAAGCUCCUGCCCCUCUGACAGCUGUCGCUUGGGCAGCCCGGGGAGACGAAUUGUCCUCCUUCCUGGUGCUAGAGGACGCAGGAAAUUAGCCAGGUUGCGAGUUGCAAAGCGGCCGCGGCGGCGCCGGGAACUGGACGAGCCCCACCUCCAGCGGGAGCGGCCGGGCCGGGCCGGGCCGGGGCCUCGUCUCGCUCGCCAUAGCCGGACAAAGCACAGCCGAGCCGGGCUGGAAGGCAGAGCGCCGAAGCAGGCAGGACGGAGCGGAGCAGAAGAAUGCGGCUCUAUUCUCGCAAGGGAAAUUAUAAAAAAGUUCAUGUUCACGGUUCCCAUCCACAUGACCGACAACGGCCAAUGGAAGGGCCGAACAACUCAUAAAGUUGUAUUGCAAAGUUGUAAAUUUUCAUAAACAACAACGGAUUUAUGACCCUUUCCCCAUCA
Molecule: long non-coding RNA, 814 nt
Organism: Mesoplodon densirostris (Blainville's beaked whale)
Lineage: Eukaryota; Metazoa; Chordata; Mammalia; Artiodactyla; Ziphiidae
Exons: 2
Source: RefSeq, a predicted model, not a curated record